GUCCUUUGGAAUUAUCUUGGAUCAUUGUAUUGAUCAGAGUAGCAAGCUUGGUGGGCAUGUCUAAUAUAAAAACCUUUAGAAUCCUCAUGGUCAACACUCAGAGAGGAAACCUGAACUUGGGAUUUGAGGUCAAUCAGCAGUGAACAAGUGAUCCCACCUGUAAAAUGUGAAUUGUGAUACUUUUAACCUACUUCCUCAAAGAGAUGUUGGGGUAAAAAAAAUAAAUUUUGCCCAAAGUCCUUUGGAGAAGCUUAGAAGGAAGAUAGUGUAUAAACAUAGAUCUUGGUUCAAAUUAUUGGUGAGACGAUGUUGCACAGGAAACCCUUAUUUCAUUGGAACCGUCUCUAGGCAAUGGCCAUCCAGUAAUUAACGCACUGGUUACCAGCAAAUAAGGAAAUUGACUUUGACAUUUCUUUGGUGCCUACUUGGUGCUGAAAAUUUUAUGAUGUGAUAAGAUAUAUGUGAAGCUAAGAUCAUUCCCUAAUAUAUGUGACCCAGUGGAUAAAGAGCUGGCUUUAGAGUCAUGAAUAUCUGAGUUCAAAUCCAAUCUUAGAUAUUUACUACCUGUGUUACCCGGGACAAGUCAGUUCAACUUUGCUUGCCUCAGUUUCCUCAUAUGUAAAUUUGGGAAUAAUAGCAGCGCCUACCUCACAGAGUUUUUAAGAAGAUCAGAUGAGAUAUUAUUUAUGAUUAUUCACUUGCUUUUAUAGACAGGGCAAUACAAGAUACAAGCAAGUAAUUAUUUUACACAGCACUGAAAGAUAAAAUGUAGGUGAGGGAAAAGAAAUGCUCUUAUCCUAAGAGUUUCAUUUUUAAUGGAUGAAGAAAGAAAAGUUAAAUAGUUGUCCUAGUGCUGGUGAAGGGGAGCUAUUGACCAGAUUUGGAUGGAAAAUAAAACAAGCUUGGGCUAUUUUUUAAAGAGAGACAAAUCUUUCUUGGAAAUGACAUCUGGACAGAAAGCCCUUUUAUGUUUUUAUUGAAUUGUUUAGCAGGUAGCUGGUUGCUGCUGUGGCUUUCUUCCCAGAACACAACAAUGCAGAACAGAAUGAAACAACUUCCAAACACCUCUCCUGAAGUGAAGGCAAGUACAUGAUGUACUGAAGCAAAAGCUAAGGCACUCAAUCAAGGUGCAUAGGUAAAUAUAUCAGCUUGUAAAUGAGAUAAACAGGGAGCCAGCCACUUCAAAUGGUGUUUUCAUCAAAUAGAAUAAAAUAAAGUACAAAAAAGGAUUUCAAAAUGUUUUUAUGCAAUUUUGAAGUCUCAAUUUAAAACUAAAUGUUCAGUGAUAACAAAUAGUACAAAGAUAGUUAUUUACAUAAUCAGGAUUCUAAUCUAACUAUAAUUUCCAUCAAAUAUGCUUUAUAGGACCAUCUACUAGGGAAGAUUUUCUUUAAUGGUAAACAGAUAUCAUCUAUUUGCCCCAACCAGAAGUCUCUUUCAUUUCUAGGGUAUUGCAUAAGCAACAAGGUGAUUUAUAAACAUUUAGGAUAUAAUACAGAAUUCUUAUGAUUCAUAUAAAGGCAAAAAUUUGGCUCACAUUUGUGUUCUAGAUAGGAAAGGACUAGGACCACAUCACCACUUUUUUUUCUUUUCCCCAAAGUGGUCAUACUCUAAUCACUUAUAAAGGAAAAAAAAAACAUAAUAUAGAAAACCCAAGUAGCAUGAGUGGAGUUGGAAUUCCAAGGAAGGAAAGAUCUACAUCUAUCUCCACUCAUUUCAUUCAUUUCCUGUGCACCUAUGCAUCAGAGUAAAGUUUUUACAUUCCGCACACUCUUGCAUGCCUGAGUUACCCUUUGACAUUACCCCAGUAUCGGUCACCUAGCAACACUGAUCCAAAAAAAAAUGCUGUUCUCAUUCAUAUCAUGAUCCAGAUUACUACUUAAACCUCAGGCCCUGCUUCCUGGUAAUCUUUUGUCCUCUCCAAUUGGUGCCUAGGUGGGCACAAAAUUAUAAGGGGUGAAUGAAUCAUUUUCCAUAUUUGUGGCAUAUGUACACAAAAAAUAGGAACUAGAUCUCUGAUUUAAUUGGUAUAAUGAGUUCCCCUUUAGGAUACAUGAUCUACCAAAGCAGUCAAUCCCUUUUCUGAAAUUUAUAAUCUGUAAAAUUGAUCCUAAGAUUUUAAGUGACUUACUCAGGAUUACAAAAGCAGUAUGUAGGAGAAGCUCAAUGUGAGCCCAGGUCUUGCUACUUCUAAGGCCAACUCUUUAUCCACUCUACCAGAUGUGACCAUAUGUUUACCAUACUAAACCAAAUUAAUUUGCUACCUAUUUCUUUUAAGAUCCAAUAUAAAGCACUUUAUUUACAUUUUAAGUCCUAGACACCUUGGCCCAAACCUUUCUUUCCUCCCUCACUGGGAAAUACUUCAUCUCUUGGACCCUGCAUUCCAGCAAAACUGAACAUCUUUGGCUCUUGUGCAGUACAGACCAUCACACACACACACACACACACACACACACACACACACACACACACACACACACACACACAAAAAGGUUAUGUAAUACAUGACAUUAAAGUAUGCUGAACACACUGAAAAUUUCAAACCCAAAUAGUCAUUUCAAAUCCAUCCUCGUGGACGUAAAUGGAAAAAAUACAGCUCAGGUCUUAUACAGUAUAGGCAUUUCAUAAGCAGAUGUUGAGUAAA
Long non-coding RNA from Trichosurus vulpecula (common brushtail), 2644 nucleotides. RefSeq lists it as uncharacterized. The transcript has 4 exons. Lineage: Eukaryota; Metazoa; Chordata; Mammalia; Diprotodontia; Phalangeridae. The record is from RefSeq and is a predicted model, not a curated record.